RNAcentral lists this ribosomal RNA (448 nucleotides) under uncultured bacterium. RNAcentral describes it as "bacterial SSU rRNA". It matches the Rfam family "Bacterial small subunit ribosomal RNA", at positions 340 to 783 of the family's 1533-position model. The record is from RNAcentral.
UACGGAAGGCAGCAGUGGGGAAUAUUGCACAAUGGGCGAAAGCCUGAUGCAGCUAUGCCGCGUGUAUGAAGAAGGCCUUAGGGUUGUAAAGUACUUUCAUCGGGGAGGAAAAAACAAAACUAAUAAUUUUAUUUCUUGACGUUACCCGAAAAAGAAGCACCGGCUAACUCCGUGCCAGCAGCCGCGGUAAUACGGAGGGUGCUAGCGUUAAUCAGAAUUACUGGGCGUAAAGAGCACGUAGGUGGUUUUUUUAAGUCAGAUGUGAAAUCCCUGGGCUUAACCUGGAACUGCAUUUUGAAACUGAAAUACUAGAGUAUCGUAGAGGGAGGUAGAAUUCUAGGUGUAGCGGUGAAAUGCGUAGAUAUCUGGAGGAAUACCUGUGGCGAAAGCGGCCUCCUAAACGAAUACUGACACUGAGGUGCGAAAGCGUGGGGAGCAAACGAGGGAU